Long non-coding RNA from Phascolarctos cinereus (koala), 840 nucleotides. RefSeq lists it as uncharacterized. The record is from RefSeq and is a predicted model, not a curated record. NCBI's taxonomy places the organism in Eukaryota, Metazoa, Chordata, Mammalia, Diprotodontia, Phascolarctidae.
UCCUGAUUGCUUCUGUAGAGGAGCAGGAUAGUGUGUGUCAGGAACCUCCUUGCCCUUUCCUCUGCUUGCUUACGUUCCAUACUAGCACAGCAUUCUAGGCUUUGGCCUGCCUACAUUCUGACCCUGACUUUGCUUUGGGUAGAGGAGGUAUUAAGGAGCCACUGGCUCAGGGGGUCAUGACUCAGGAUCUAUCUCCAUUUCUGUUGCUGGCAUCCAGUAUCUUUACUCACUUAGACCUCUUACCUACUUCUUUUUUGACCAGAUUUGUUAGUCUAGACUCAGGAACCCAUCUCAUCCAGUCCCUUUGCCUAUCCUUGUCAUCUGUUUUCCUAAACCUGGCUGACUGAUUCCUGAUGCCUGACCUCUUGGAUAAUAGACUUCUGCCUACCUAGACCUAUUGUGUCUAGUUCUUUUUUUUCUCUCCUGCCUUUGCUGAACUGCCUGGAGUCUAGAGCUUGCUGGCUCCUCCUUGCCUUUUCUGGCUUCUUUGAAAACGAUUACUGGCCUGCCUGACUUUAUAGCAUUUGCCAGCUCAUUUCCUGUACAGCCACACUCCCUGUCUUGGCCUGUCCUGUCCUGCAGCAAGAAGGGUCAGUAUGAAUGGCAGAGAGAUGAAAAGGUAUGGGUCUAACUCUGAUAUCCCUUCCAACUCUGAGAUCAAGUGGCCAUGGCUUAUCUGGAUGUGAAUGGACAGCAGGCUGCUCUCCUUGGUUUAACUGUGAGGUGGAUUAGCAGCUGAAGUUACAGGAAAUUCAUGAAAUGGCUGCAGUGGGAUGAGAUAGAAUCCUUGGACUAGAAGAUAACCCUAAAAGGUCCUUUCAAAGUAAGGAAAUGAUUUCC